GUAGGUGGCAAGCGUUGUCCGGGAAUUAUUGGGGCGUAAAGCGCGCGCAGGCGGUUCUUUAAGUCUGAUGUGAAAGCCCACGGGCUCAACCGUGGAGGGUCAUUGGAAACUGGAGAACUUGAGUACAGAAGAGGAAAGCGGAACUCCACGUGUAGCGGUGAAAUGCGUAGAGAUGUGGAGGAACACCAGUGGCGAAGGCGGCUUUCUGGUCUGUAACUGACGCUGAGGCGCGAAAGCGUGGGGAGCAAACAGGAUUAGAUACCCUGGUAGUCCACGCCGUAAACGAUGAGUGCUAAGUGUUAGGGGGUUUCCGCCCCUUAGUGCUGCAGCUAACGCAUUAAGCACUCCGCCUGGGGAGUACGGCCGCAAAGGCUGA
RNAcentral lists this ribosomal RNA (376 nucleotides) under uncultured organism. Its description in RNAcentral is "partial 16S ribosomal RNA". It matches the Rfam family "Bacterial small subunit ribosomal RNA", at positions 527 to 897 of the family's 1533-position model. The record is from RNAcentral.